GACGAACGCUGGCGGCGUGCUUAACACAUGCAAGUCGAACGGUGAAGCUCGGAUUUCCUGGGGUGACUGAGUGGCGACCGGGUGAGUCAUACGCGUGCAAUCUGCCCCAGACUCUGGAAUUAGCGCUGGUAACGGCGACUAACACUGGAUACGAGAAGGGUCCGCAUGGGCUCUUUCUGGAUCUGUUUUCGGUUGGGGAUGGGCUCGCGGCUUCUCAGCUUGUUGGUGAGGUCUUGGCUCACCAAGGCGACGACGGGUCGCCGGCCUGAGAGGGCGACCGGCCACGCUGGGACUGAGACACGGCACAGACUCCUACGGUAGGCAGCAGAGGAGAAUAUUACACAGGGGGCGGGAGCCUGAUGCGGCGACGCCACGUGGGGGAUGACGGCCUUCGGGUUGGAAACCACAGUCAGCAGGGAAGAAGCGAAAGUGACGGUACCGGCAGAAGAAGCACCGGCUAACUACGUG
Molecule: ribosomal RNA, 468 nt
Filed under: uncultured bacterium
Lineage: Bacteria
Description: partial 16S ribosomal RNA
Rfam family: Bacterial small subunit ribosomal RNA
Source: RNAcentral